ACCUGGGUGGCUCAGUUGGUUGAGCAUCUGACUUUGGCUCAGGUCAUGAUCUUGCAGUUCGUGGGUUCGAGCCCCACACCAGGCU
RNAcentral lists this transfer RNA (85 nucleotides) under Felis catus (domestic cat). It matches the Rfam family "tRNA". Rfam says of the family: Transfer RNA (tRNA) molecules are approximately 80 nucleotides in length. Their secondary structure includes four short double-helical elements and three loops (D, anti-codon, and T loops). The record is from Rfam by way of RNAcentral. Lineage: Eukaryota; Metazoa; Chordata; Mammalia; Carnivora; Felidae.